This 504-nucleotide ribosomal RNA is filed under the name uncultured bacterium. Its description in RNAcentral is "partial 16S ribosomal RNA". It matches the Rfam family "Bacterial small subunit ribosomal RNA", at positions 899 to 1397 of the family's 1533-position model. The record is from RNAcentral.
ACUCAAAGGAAUAGACGGGGGCUCACACAAGCGGUGGAGCAUGUUGCUUAAUUCGAGGCAACGCGAAGAACCUGACCUGGGCUUGACAUGCACGGAUUAGUCCCGAGAAAUCGGGAUGACGCCUUCGGGUGGAACGUGCACAGGUGCUGCAUGGCUGUCGUCAGCUCGUGCUGUGAAGUGUCGGGUUAAGUCCCUUAACGAGCGCAACCCCUGUCGCUAGUUGCCAUCGGGUCAUGCCGGGUACUCUAGCGAGACUGCCGGUGUCAAACCGGAGGAAGGUGGGGAUGACGUCAAGUCCUCAUGGCCCUUACGUCCAGGGUUGCAAACGUGCUACAAUGGCGUGUACAGAGCGAUGCAAGCCCGCAAGGGGGAGCAAAUCGCAAAAAACCCGCCUCAGUUCGGAUUGCAGGCUGCAACCCGCCUGCAUGAAGCCGGAAUCGCUAGUAAUCGGAGAUCAGCUACGCUCCGGUGAAUACGUUCCUGAGCCUUGUACACACCGCCCGU